RNAcentral lists this ribosomal RNA (462 nucleotides) under uncultured bacterium. Its description in RNAcentral is "bacterial SSU rRNA". It matches the Rfam family "Bacterial small subunit ribosomal RNA", at positions 28 to 512 of the family's 1533-position model. The record is from RNAcentral.
GACGAACGCUGGCGGCGUGCUUAACACAUGCAAGUCGAACGGUGACCCAGGGCUUGCCCUGGUGAUCAGUGGCGAACGGUGAGUAACACGUGGGCAACCUGCCCCUGACUUCGGAAUAACUCCUCGAAAGAGGAGCUAAUACCGGAUACGACCACUUCGGACAUCCGAUGGUGGUGGAAAGUUUUUCGGUCAGGGAUGGGCCCGCGGCCUAUCAGCUAGUUGGUGGGGUAAUGGCCUACCAAGGCGACGACGGGUAGCCGGCCUGAGAGGGCGACCGGCCACACUGGGACUGAGACACGGCCCAGACUCCUACGGGAGGCAGCAGUGGGGAAUAUUGCGCAAUGGGCGAAAGCCUGACGCAGCGACGCCGCGUGAGGGAUGAAGGCCUGGUGUAACUCUUCAGCAGGACGAAGCGAAAGUGACGGUACUGCAGAAGAAGCAACCGGCUAACUACGUGCCAGC